AGACAUUUCGCGCUCAUUCACUUCCGCCUCCCUCUCGGUCGCAACUGUUUUGCAUCUUGUUUCAUCGCGUUUCACGAUGCCCCGCUUCAACUACGAUUCCACCACGGCCGUCUGCAUCGCCACGGAUGACAAACGAUUUAUUAGUAAUAUCACUGUUUAUAUCUUAUCUGAAUAAGAUACUCAAUUAGACAUCAAGAUGACUGUCACUCGUACACUCAAAAGAUACUAAGAGUAAGUAUUAAAAAUAUUAAUAAAAUUAUUAUUUAAUUUAUAAAAAGACUAGCUUUUGCCCACGGCUUCACCGGCGUGAAAUUUUGUUUGUCACAGAUCGUCAUAAAUUAUAGCCUAUGUGUUAUUCUGGGUUAUAAACAAUAAUACUGUAAAGUUUCGUCAAAAUCCGUUCAGUAGUUUUUGCGUGAAAAAGUAACAGACAUCCAAAUUUUCGCAUUUCUAAUAUGUAUUAGUAUUU
Ostrinia nubilalis (European corn borer) is the source of this 469-nucleotide long non-coding RNA. RefSeq lists it as uncharacterized. The record is from RefSeq and is a predicted model, not a curated record. NCBI's taxonomy places the organism in Eukaryota, Metazoa, Arthropoda, Insecta, Lepidoptera, Crambidae. The transcript has 3 exons.